Molecule: long non-coding RNA, 979 nt
Organism: Eleginops maclovinus (Patagonian blennie)
Lineage: Eukaryota; Metazoa; Chordata; Actinopteri; Perciformes; Eleginopidae
Exons: 4
Source: RefSeq, a predicted model, not a curated record
GUCCUUUUGAAAGAUUCUCUUGGAAAAGCACGACCGUGACCGUUUCAGAUUGACCCACGAGAUCGAUGCUAUACAGUCUAUGGAUCGGAGACGUCGACAUUUCUCCGCAGGACAGUAAAGUUAGAACAUGGGGAACCCUCUUGAAGGCCAAAGUCAUAAAGCAAGCCAGAAACCUCAGCAAGACACCCCGGCUUGACUACCUCAUCCAGUGUGCAGAGGAGAACCCUGAUGAUGAUGAAGAGGUCCCAGGUUGAGACAGUGACAUGGCCUCACUGCUACUGCUGGUCCAUCUUCUGCCACCAAGUCAAAAUAAGGGAGCUGUGAAGAUCAGUGUCCGGGAAGCUGUGAACCGUGUAGUCAAUUUUCAUAAGUCAUGUCGCAGCCUUCAGGAGUACGCCGGUCCAGACCAGAGGAGGCAACCAUACAUCCUAGCAGUUGGGACCACAAGAAACAGCAUCCAUAAGUACUACAUUGCGUUGGAUGGUGAUCUCCUUCCCUGCAAGGCCAAUUCUUCCCUGUCAGCUUUUGAUUAACUUUUUAAAGCACAUUAUGGGUUUGGGAUCUCCAAUGACCUGGACACAUUUAUGCAGACCACCAUCUACAACAUUGAUGUAGGUCUUUCUCACGAAACUCCCAGAUUCAAAGACCUUAGGGCUAAGCUCCUCAACUGAUGUUAAGAUGCUUUGGUUGCAAGUCCACUUUUGUCACCAUUCAACAGUUGGUCUGUCAUCUCAAGGUUUCACAUGCAUUUUAUCCUGGUAAGAAGUUUCAAUUGUUGUGUGACCAGAAUGGAUGCCACCAGAGAUUUUGCACUUUUUCAGGCUUCAGGAAACAUCUCCAUAGCAAACAUAGCGCUGAUAGUGAUGAGGCCUAAUGAGCAAAUUCUCAAAUGCUCACCUAUGACCAAUAUAUUGUGUGGGUUGGUUGUGGUUGCUACUGAUUAGAUGUUAUCUAAGUAAAACUCAUUUUUGAAAAUAAA